AGGCUUAACACAUGCAAGUCGAGGGGUAUAGUUUUCGGACUAAGAGACCGGCGCACGGGUGCGUAACGCGUAUGCAAUCUACCUUUUACAGAGGGAUAGCCCAGAGAAAUUUGGAUUAAUACCUCAUAGUAUAGCAGUUUCGCAUGAAACCACUAUUAAAGUCACAACGGUAAAAGAUGAGCAUGCGUCCCAUUAGCUAGUUGGUAAGGUAACGGCUUACCAAGGCUACGAUGGGUAGGGGUCCUGAGAGGGAGAUCCCCCACACUGGUACUGAGACACGGACCAGACUCCUACGGGAGGCAGCAGUGAGGAAUAUUGGACAAUGGGCGCAAGCCUGAUCCAGCCAUGCCGCGUGCAGGAUGACGGUCCUAUGGAUUGUAAACUGCUUUUGUACGAGAAGAAACACUCCUAUGUAUAGGAGCUUGACGGUAUCGUAAGAAUAAGGAUCGGCUAACUCCGUGCCAGCAGCCGCGGUAAUACGGAGGAUCCAAGCGUUAUCCGGAAUCAUUGGGUUUAAAGGGUCCGUAGGCGGUUUAGUAAGUCAGUGGUGAAAGCCCAUCGCUCAACGGUGGAACGGCCAUUGAUACUGCUGAACUUGAAUUAUUAGGAAGUAACUAGAAUAUGUAGUGUAGCGGUGAAAUGCUUAGAGAUUACAUGGAAUACCAAUUGCGAAGGCAGGUUACUACUAAUUGAUUGACGCUGAUGGACGAAAGCG
RNAcentral lists this ribosomal RNA (715 nucleotides) under uncultured Flavobacteriales bacterium. RNAcentral's name for it is "bacterial SSU rRNA". It matches the Rfam family "Bacterial small subunit ribosomal RNA", at positions 44 to 761 of the family's 1533-position model. Lineage: Bacteria; Pseudomonadati; Bacteroidota; Flavobacteriia; Flavobacteriales. The record is from RNAcentral.